RNAcentral lists this long non-coding RNA (345 nucleotides) under Phoenix dactylifera (date palm). RNAcentral's name for it is "long non-coding RNA (PDAC_LNC017252)". Lineage: Eukaryota; Viridiplantae; Streptophyta; Magnoliopsida; Arecales; Arecaceae. The record is from RNAcentral.
GUCAAUACUUCUAGUGUGUGUGACCCCAUAGGUUCUAUUCUGACUGGUAGUGAGAUAUAUUGCGAUCUCUAUCACAAUAUCAUUGAAAACUCCUUUCAAUGGGUUGGAACGAUUCUAACUCAACUCAUUAGGGUUUAUCGAUCAUCAAGAUAAUCCCUAUGAGUCUCACCAUCCACCAGUGACACCUAGCAGCAUGUAGUGGCUACCCAGCAGAAUAGAAUGGUGAACCUCUAGGUGCAGUUAUCAUGUGAUACAGUCCUUCUAUCGUGGAUCCCUACAGGAUGGAGGUCAUGGACAACUCGUCAAACCCCAUCGUCUGUCAUAUGUGAAGAUUUAUUCGACUUA